UGUGUGUGUGUGUGCCUGUGUGCGUUUGUACUGUUGUCACCGGGAGACAUGAUCUCCACCAAGGUCUUAGAGCAUUAUGCACUUUCUUAGUUUCAGAGUCAAAUUUGCUUGAGAAUGCUGGAAAAUUUCUCUCUGGAGUAAAAACAUUUAGUGAACACUUAAUAACAAGCAAGUAAAUCAUCUUUAUAUGGGCAAAUGAAUGUAUUUGUUUUGACAUUAAGGUACUCAAAUUUGCUUUAAAAAAAAAUCUAUUCAACAUUUUGAUUUCUAUACCAUACUUGAUGAAUCUUGGGGUUGAGCUUUAUUUAAUAUACUUAUGAUGCAGAUCCAAAAAAAAUUCUUUAUCUUCAUUUUAGUAUUAUCUAGCAUUUUUAACUCUUCUCACUGGGCUUUGUGUUAACGUCCUCCUGUGUGAUAAUCAUAUACAUAACCUUCAACAAUCAGUCCAAAUUCAGGCAUCUUAAUGAGGUAGGUUCUCUCAUAUGAUCUCAUAAGCCGAGUCAAGAUCAAGAUUUAUAUAAGCGCAUAUUAACAUCUCCCUCUACCACUAAAGUCUUAUUUUUUUUUAAUUUUAUUUGUUGAUCCAUCUGUCUCGGUGCAACAAAAAAAAAAGACAACAUUCCUCACCACAUUCGAAUGUCAGCUGGUCGUCCAAAACAUAUUGUGCCUAUUUUUUCUUUAAAGAGGUGUUAUUUAGGAAAAACCAGCAAUAAGUAAAAGCAAGCAGUUGCAAUGUACUGUACAUAGUUUGAAUUACACAGCAGCUAUAGCAGUAAUUGCUGUCAUGUGGUUGUUAUAGAGCAUGUGCACAUAUUUUUUUAAUAAUAUGCAAGAAAUCCGAACUAUUCUAAUAAUAAUAAUUCUAAUAAUAAUAUGAUCACUGUGAUGUUUGUGUUGUAAUUGUAAAAUGAAAGCAAAGAGAUAAUCACGAAAGGAACGGCAGAAGACUCAGUACCUGUAAUAACCAACCAGCCUUGUCUUUAUAUUUGAACUACACUUAUGAAUGAACAUCUAUGCCUUUAUAUGACAAUAUUAUUUAAUGUCUUGGCAGCAAUGAUAGCAAUAUUAAUCUUCAGAAUGUACAUACCUGUGCCUUCAAAUCCUUUUUCUUGACUUUUUCUGUCUGAUUUGCCGGGUGGAGGGUUGUUGGCUUCCUCUCCCCGAGAUAGAGCUGUACGGAUCAAGUGUCUGUUGAAGUGACAAUAACACUACAGAUGAUGUCAAACUUCUACAGGAAGCGAUGCUGAGCAAAAUAUGGUUUUAUUUUAAAUAAAGACACUACUUAUUUCACCACGUUGUUUGUAUUUGAGUUGU
Etheostoma cragini (Arkansas darter) is the source of this 1314-nucleotide long non-coding RNA. RefSeq lists it as uncharacterized. The record is from RefSeq and is a predicted model, not a curated record. The transcript is spliced from 4 exons. NCBI's taxonomy places the organism in Eukaryota, Metazoa, Chordata, Actinopteri, Perciformes, Percidae.